Vicia villosa (hairy vetch) is the source of this 464-nucleotide long non-coding RNA. RefSeq lists it as uncharacterized. The transcript has 2 exons. The record is from RefSeq and is a predicted model, not a curated record. Lineage: Eukaryota; Viridiplantae; Streptophyta; Magnoliopsida; Fabales; Fabaceae.
CAAAACUAUAUUUAUUUAUAAGAGAACAUAAAUGUUAUACACUAAAAAAAUCAAAUCAUAUUCUUUGUUUACUUUGCAAAAUAAGGAAAAAUAUGGCUAAAAUUCACAUGUUUAUUUAUGCCAUGAUUAUAUUUCUUUCUCUAUCUCUUGUUGCACCAGAACAUUUCCCACUUGAACAUGAAUGUAGAAUUGAUCAAGAUUGUACAAGGGUUGUUGAAUAUCCUUUGGUUAUGAGGUGCAUUGGUUACAGAUGUGUAGUUAUUAACACUAAUAAUCCUGGGCCAAAACCUAAGGGAAUUCACAAAUUUCAUGAAGGGAAAAAAUGAUCUCUCCUGCAAGAAAAAUAUUUGUAGUAUAUGGAUACCAAUAAUUAUUAUUUUUAUUUAUGCUUUAUUUUCUAAUUUUAUAAACCUCUAAAUUAUGGCUUGUACUCUAAGAUGACAAUAAUAUAAUAAAAUUAUUUA